GUGGGGAAUAUUGGACAAUGGGCGAAAGCCUGAUCCAGCCAUGCCGCGUGUGUGAAGAAGGCCUUCGGGUUGUAAAGCACUUUAAGCGAGGAGGAAGGUUCGUCACCUAAUACGUGACGGAAUUGACGUUACUCGCAGAAUAAGCACCGGCUAACUCUGUGCCAGCAGCCGCGGUAAUACAGAGGGUGCAAGCGUUAAUCGGAAUUACUGGGCGUAAAGCGCGAGUAGGCGGUUGUGUAAGUUGGAUGUGAAAUCCCCGGGCUUAACCUGGGCACUGCAUUCAAAACUGCACGGCUAGAGUAUUGGAGGGGAAGGUAGAAUUCCAGGUGUAGCGGUGAAAUGCGUAGAGAUCUGGAGGAAUACCGAUGGCGAAGGCAGCCUUCUGGCCAAAUACUGACGCUGGGGUGCGAAAGCAUGGGGAGCAAACAGGAUUAGAUACCCCAGUAGUCC
This 450-nucleotide ribosomal RNA is filed under the name uncultured bacterium. RNAcentral's name for it is "partial 16S ribosomal RNA". It matches the Rfam family "Bacterial small subunit ribosomal RNA", at positions 354 to 796 of the family's 1533-position model. The record is from RNAcentral.